UCCACCUUAGCUCAGUUUGGUAGAGCGCCCGGCUGUUAACCGGGAGCGCGCGGGUUCGAGGCCAGCAGGUGGAGCCA
Molecule: transfer RNA, 77 nt
Filed under: Pelomonas sp. Root1237
Lineage: Bacteria; Pseudomonadati; Pseudomonadota; Betaproteobacteria; Burkholderiales; Sphaerotilaceae
Description: tRNA-Asn
Rfam family: tRNA
About the family: Transfer RNA (tRNA) molecules are approximately 80 nucleotides in length. Their secondary structure includes four short double-helical elements and three loops (D, anti-codon, and T loops).
Source: RNAcentral